This 637-nucleotide ribosomal RNA is filed under the name uncultured bacterium. RNAcentral's name for it is "bacterial SSU rRNA". It matches the Rfam family "Bacterial small subunit ribosomal RNA", at positions 94 to 715 of the family's 1533-position model. The record is from RNAcentral.
AGCGGCGGAUGGGUGAGUAACACGUGGGCAAUCUACCCUUUAGCUUGGGAUACCACUUGGAAACAGGUGCUAAUACCAAAUAAGAAGUAAGAGCGCAUGCUCAAGCUAUGAAAGGCGGCUUUCGAGCUGUCACUAAAGGAUGAGCCCGCGGUGCAUUAGCUAGUUGGUAAGGUAACGGCUUACCAAGGCAAUGAUGCAUAGCCGAGUUGAGAGACUGAUCGGCCACAUUGGGACUGAGACACGGCCCAAACUCCUACGGGAGGCAGCAGUAGGGAAUCUUCCACAAUGGACGCAAGUCUGAUGGAGCAACGCCGCGUGAGUGAAGAAGGUUUUCGGAUCGUAAAGCUCUGUUGUUGGUGAAGAAGGACAUGGGUAGUAACUGAUCUAUGUUUGACGGUAAUCAACCAGAAAGUCACGGCUAACUACGUGCCAGCAGCCGCGGUAAUACGUAGGUGGCAAGCGUUGUCCGGAUUUAUUGGGCGUAAAGCGAACGCAGGCGGGAGAACAAGUCAGCUGUGAAAGCCCUCGGCUUAACCGAGGAACGGCAACUGAAACUGUUUUUCUUGAGUGCAGAAGAGGAGAGUGGAACUCCAUGUGUAGCGGUGAAAUGCGUAGAUAUAUGGAAGAACACCAGUGG